This 748-nucleotide ribosomal RNA is filed under the name uncultured Lachnospiraceae bacterium. RNAcentral describes it as "bacterial SSU rRNA". It matches the Rfam family "Bacterial small subunit ribosomal RNA", at positions 28 to 776 of the family's 1533-position model. The record is from RNAcentral. Lineage: Bacteria; Bacillati; Bacillota; Clostridia; Lachnospirales; Lachnospiraceae.
GACGAACGCUGGCGGCGUGCCUAAUACAUGCAAGUCGAGCGAAGCUGCCUGGAGGAAGUUUUCGGAUGGAAUUUAGGUAGACUUAGUGGCGGACGGGUGAGUAACGCGUGGAUAACCUGCCUUAUACAGGGGGAUAACGGAGAGAAAUUUCCGCUAACACCGCAUAAGACCACAGCACCGCAUGGUGCAGGGGUAAAAUAUUUAUAGGUAUAAGAUGGAUCCGCGUCCGAUUAGCUAGUUGGUGAGGUAAAGGCCCACCAAGGCGACGAUCGGUAGCCGGCCUGAGAGGGUGAACGGCCACAUUGGGACUGAGACACGGCCCAAACUCCUGCGGGAGGCAGCAGUGGGGAAUAUUGGACAAUGGGGGAAACCCUGACCCAGCGACGCCGCGUGAGUGAAGAAGUAUUUCGGUAUGUAAAGCUCUAUCAGCAGGGAAGAAAAUGACGGUACCUGACUAAGAAGCCCCGGCUAACUACGUGCCAGCAGCCGCGGUAAUACGUAGGGGGCAAGCGUUAUCCGGAUUUACUGGGUGUAAAGGGAGCGCAGACGGCAAUGCAAGUCUGAAGUGAAAGGCGUGGGCUCAACCCAUGAACUGCUUUGGAAACUGUAUAGCUUGAGUGUCGGAGGGGUAAGCGGAAUUCCUAGUGUAGCGGUGAAAUGCGUAGAUAUUAGGAGGAACACCGGAGGCGAAGGCGGCUUACUGGACGACAACUGACGUUGAGGCUCGAAGGCGUGAGGAGCAAACAGG